UCCUACCUCUCUUCCACACUGCACCAUCAUCACCAUUUCACGCCGUUAUUUCCAAAGGCCCCGCUCGUUUGUUUAAAUCUCGCGAUAUCUCAAUCCCGCCGAAAGGCUCCUCUCGCGCCCGGUCGCCUCCUCAGUAACGGCUCCCCGGCUGGCCCGGGUUCCCGUCUCCGUCCAUCGGCCUCUCCUCGGGACACCAGAGUCACUCGGAAUCGGAGGACACUUUGAACGAGUCUGGAACGAAGCUGUGCCCAUGAACUUGGUCCAAUCCUGGAGUCUGACCCUUCACUUCUCGUUCCAUGUCAGACGUAAAACAACACCCCUCUUCCUUCUGUUGAACCAAUCUCCUUUGACCUGGACCCAUGGGACCCUCUGGACAUUGUGGCCUUGGGCUGGCACUCCCUCAGCAGUUUCCUUGACGCCUCCACUCCUCUGCUAAAGAAGAAGUUGGCGCAGCACUCGAGAUCAGACCAACUGGCUGUCUGGGACUGGGGUGGAAGAAGUCUGUGCUGUCAGCUGACAUUCAGAACCUUUCAGGGGUGGUGGAGGGGAAUGGCUGAGUGGCCAACAUAUUUAAUUACAUCCCUGCUUGAGUCUUCUGCUCCAAAAGGACUGGGUUUUGCCUCCCCCCUCCCCCCGCCCCAUCAUUUCUGGCGCUCUCUUCCACUGGAGGGGAGGUGCCGAGGACGAGCAAUGUCCUGGGUCUGGAUGGGGAUUAGCAGGCAUCUGCAGCAGCAGUUUGCCAGACGACAGGAGGGUGAUGUUGGCACUGCAGACGUGAUGUUUGACUCUGAAAAUCCAGGUGAUUUAUUCCCCUGAUGCUUCACCUCUGGGCGGUGACCAAUCUGUCACAAAUGCAGCAGGACAGGGAACCUUGUGGAAAGUGAUUGCAAAGCAGACCUCUCCAAUGACCAGUUGCCAUGACCGUGCAGGGCUGGUGUAAGCCUGAUAGCUGACUGCAGAGAUUGCAAGAUGCUGAUUUGAUGUGGAAGUGAGUCCAUUGGCCAUCGUGCUGAGGGCGAGGACGAGGGUGGCAGUGUUCGGAAACUGGGACUGCAUCAGCACCAAUGUUGUCCUUACCAACUGCACCUGACUGCAUUAAGGUUCAGGGUACAUUUAUUGUCAAAGUAUGUAUGCAGUAUACAACUCAGAUUCAUCAUUAACACCACUAUUCUCCUGCAUCAGGACGUGGACGAAACAACCGGCCAACGACAGGCCAAAGGUAGUGGUGAGCACAGUCACAGAAUGAUGCCAUGCCAGGGACACUCUCACAUUCAGGCAAGGGCAGACAGAGAUUGACAGUGUUUCAUAGGUGCUUGGUGGCUCAAUGGGAGAGGGGUUAGAAAGUCCAAAGAAAAAUAAAUCUUCCAGAAUUCCCAUAUUGGCAGGAGGCUGUGGUGUAGAUCUAACCCAUGGGAUAUGGAGAUGGGAACUGUGCAUGGCACUCCCUCUGUGGGUCUGACCUUGUGAUAUGGAGACAGAAAAGUGCAUGGUGAGUUUUUCCAUUUUCGCUGAAUGCCUAUGGAGGUUCAGAGAUUUCUGCCGAGUGGUGCCCCAAAGGGAAUGGUUUGCACAAUCGGAGCAGAAUCUUGCCUUGUGGAUUCUGUUGAAGACAGGCGAGGGCUGACAGCAAUUGGCAUGGCAUCAUGAUUCACUGUUUGCUGGUAUUCUAGAGUGUGUCUUAGGUCAGAAUGUUUAGAACAAGUUAUUCAAUUUCCCACACAUGCACUGUGCUCACAGUGUUCCUGAAGUACUGACUGGGGAUUAUGGAGGUGGGAACUGUGCAGGCGGACCCAGUCGGGCUGACCCAGAGGAUAUGGAAAUUGGAAUCACAGACAGUUCUGCCGGUGUGAGUCUGAAACAGCUCUUUCCAGACUUAAGCCAUGUUUGACAGUCCCACUGCCAAACCCUCAGUACCUGUAACUGAUGUUCCAGGGGCAUCCAGCAGGGAAGAAGGGCUUGUCUUGCUUCCUGUGAUAUAUGAUUCCUUGCCCGACUGUAUGUCUUGUGCAGAUGGGCAGCCACUCUUGCAACAGGACUGAGAACCCUGUGGAAAGACAUUUCAGAGCUCCGGAAAUAUUGCACUCUGCUCCUUUCCAGAUUUAAUCCAUGUCUGGCAGUCCCACUGUUUAAGAUCCAAUCAAAGUUUUCAAUCAGGAGACAAAGGCUGUCUGGGUUCCCACUGUAUGAGAUUCCUUGUCUUGCUGCUCAUCCAUCAGAGUUGUAGAUGGACUGUCACAGCUGCAACAUGACAUGGAACGCAGUGGAAAGAGAUUGUGAAUUUCCUGAAACUCUACUUUGUGCUGGGCUGUUGUCCUGGUGUGGUGUGACCCAAGGAAAUGAGGUCCAGAACCGUGACUGAUGUGGUCAGAAACAGAGAUUUGCCAUCAGUUGGACAGCUGGCAUUGUCCCAAGUCUCACAGCAGAAGUUAAAACAAAUAAUAUACAAAGGCAGUAUCAAGAGCAAUAAAGACAGAUUGGUUUUAAGAAGUUGCUGCCCAUUGAUUGAAGGAGGCUGACCUCGAGAGUGCAUGAUGGCUUUGAUCACAUGUACCUAAUACACAAACAAAACACCACAGUCUUAUCGGAGAGGACUGCAUGUCCGAUGUCCAGUUCCAGAGGGGGAGCGGGGCAGUGUGUUCAGUGUCUGCUCCCAGAGGGGGGAGAGGAUGAUGUGGCUGACAGCCAGUGUCGGGAGAGAGAGAGGAGGAUGCACCGACAUUGCCAUCAUUUACCAUUUACUUCUGCCCCUCAGCCCCUCACUGCAGGCCUAGCUGAAGAAUUAUACUGCAACACCCAUGUGUAUUCAUCCACCUCCCAGGGGAAUUUGCUGUAAACUCGCCUCACCCUCCCAGCCCUCUGACAUUCCCCUGUAAAACCCCACCCACUCCUCUCACUGGUUCUCUCAUCUUCCCUCUAUUAUCUGGCAGGCAGUUGCCAGUGUAACAAGAGAUGUGUUUGGUUCCUGUUGGAUACAGUAAUUUCUGAAGUAGGCUGCUCUUUGGCAAUGACUUAAAGGUGCAGACAGAGAGAGGCUGUGCUAUGAUCCUGUCUCUCUGGGCUCACUCCAGAAAAGUCAGUCUUGCACUUCGCCUCAUUGCCUGAUGCCAGGGUAUGGCAGUUGUGUGACUCACAGGGGUAGAUGUCUUGGUGCGGGAGAGGAGGCUUGUUAGGGACAGGGAAGGAAGUGAAUGAGGGGACCCAACACCUCUCAACAUCCCCUCUUAAAAUAUGAGUUGGACCUUCCUUUUGCUGCCUGACAGCAGCCUGCAUUCCUCCUUAUCUUCUCCAGCCCUCCCGGUACAGGACAAGGCAUGUCAUUCUCUCUUCUCCCCACCUCUCUUCAAGUAGAAAAUAAAAAAUCCUGAUAACACACAUACUAGGCUCAAGACAGCUACUACAUUAUUAUAACACUUAUGGUAAGAUGGAGGACGUCACAAUUGUUGUGGCCCUUGCACCUUAUUGCAUGUUGAAAUAAUCAGUAUGGCUGGUAUGCAAAUCAUUGAGUUUCACUACAGUCUGUGGUUUAUGCUCUCUGGCUUGAGCUCUGCAGUCUGUGCAUUACAUGUAACAAUAGUAAACCAUUUUAUGUGGAAAUUGUGCAAGUAGAAGGCAGUUAAUAAGUUCAUCACAACAUCAUGGGCUGAGUAGCCUGUUCCUGCACUGAAGAGUGUUCUGUAAUUUGUUAUAUUUACUUGUGAAUGCUGCAUUUCUGAUGCUAUGUGCCUGUGAUGCUGAUGCAAGUAAUAAAUGGAUUCAACAA
Molecule: long non-coding RNA, 3760 nt
Organism: Hypanus sabinus (Atlantic stingray)
Lineage: Eukaryota; Metazoa; Chordata; Chondrichthyes; Myliobatiformes; Dasyatidae
Exons: 2
Source: RefSeq, a predicted model, not a curated record